CUACAUGGCCAGCCUCACCAGUAUAUCUUCUACCACCACACCACCCAAGGGAAUGUGGGUGUUCUCCAGCAGCCCAAGAGAUCUGUGUUCAGCCCUUCACCCUGCGUUGGCUAUUGGGAAGGACUUCUGGCCAUGGGAGUUGCUGGUCAAUCAAGAGGAAAGUUCAAUUUCUGGGGAGAAAUGUCUAUUGAUUACUACACCAACAGCAAUUACAUUGAAGCCGAGGCCAGUGAGUAAGAUGGCAGUUGGACCAAGGCAAGAUGACCUGCAGAAACUCUGCCAGUGAUAAAACGGAUGCAUCUCUCAACUGACAAAAUAACCACAAAAUCUCUGCUUUUCGUGCCUGUGCCCAGUGUUUGAGGAUGAUGGAAAUCACAGAGAUAAAACACCUAAUACAUUCAUCUGUUUGCAGAAAAGGUUGCAUCUAAUUAGUAGGUAUAAUGUUAAUUCUGACAUAAAUUACAGAAUAAAAUAAUGGACAUGAACAUAAUACAAAAAUGCUAAGGCUGAACAAAUAAAAGAUUAAGAAAAUUUCAAGAUAAAAGGAGGGUUUAGCAAAAGAUACAAAAUGAACAUCUGAACUGGAUUAUUUUUAACCUCUGACUAUUCUAACACAUGUCCUGUAUCUGUGGGUAAUGCUUAGACAGCUUAUUAGAAAUUUAGCAAUUUAUAUAAAUGUCUUAUUUGUUACUGACACAAAUAAAAAUAUAUGCUUAUAUUUGUAUAAUAUUAAGUGAAUGGGAUUAAAAAUAUAUCUUGAAUACCGUCA
RNAcentral lists this long non-coding RNA (769 nucleotides) under Homo sapiens (human). RNAcentral's name for it is "HSALNT0168529". Lineage: Eukaryota; Metazoa; Chordata; Mammalia; Primates; Hominidae. The record is from RNAcentral.